UGAGGAAUACUGCGCAAUGAGCGAAAGCUAGACGCAGCAACGCCGCGUGGACGAUGAAGGCCUUCGGGUCGUAAAGUCCUUUUCAGAGGGACGAGUGAGGACGGUACCUCUGGAAUAAGUCACGGCUAACUACGUGCCAGCAGCCGCGGUAAAACGUAGGUGGCAAGCGUUAUCCGGAUUCACUGGGCGUAAAGCGCCUGCAGGCGGUCUUGUAAGUGGGAUGUGAAAUCUCCUGGCUUAACUGGGAGGGGCCAUUCCAUACUGCGGGACUCGAGGGCAGAAGAGGGAAGCGGAAUUCCCGGUGUAGUGGUGAAAUGCGUAGAUAUCGGGAGGAACACCAGUGGCGAAGGCGGCUUCCUGGCCUGCUCCUGACGCUAAGAGGCGAAAGCUAGGGGAGCGAACGGGAUUAGAAACCCCGGUAGUCCUAGCCGUAAACGAUGGAUACUGGGUGUCGGCGGUCCUAACCCCGUCGGUGCCGAAGCCAACGCGUUAAGUAUCCCGCCUGGGGACUACGGCCGCAAGGUUA
RNAcentral lists this ribosomal RNA (526 nucleotides) under uncultured bacterium. RNAcentral describes it as "bacterial SSU rRNA". It matches the Rfam family "Bacterial small subunit ribosomal RNA", at positions 355 to 896 of the family's 1533-position model. The record is from RNAcentral.